GGGAUGGUAGCUCAGUUGGUAGAGCAUUGCACUUUUAAUGCAGUGGUCACGGGUUCGAGUCCCGUCCAUCCCACCA
Molecule: transfer RNA, 76 nt
Filed under: Victivallales bacterium
Lineage: Bacteria; Pseudomonadati; Lentisphaerota; Lentisphaeria; Victivallales
Description: tRNA-Lys
Rfam family: tRNA
About the family: Transfer RNA (tRNA) molecules are approximately 80 nucleotides in length. Their secondary structure includes four short double-helical elements and three loops (D, anti-codon, and T loops).
Source: RNAcentral